This 255-nucleotide unclassified non-coding RNA is filed under the name uncultured fungus. Its description in RNAcentral is "sequence contains ITS2". The stretch from base 1 to 52 matches the Rfam family "5.8S ribosomal RNA", at positions 103 to 154 of the family's 154-position model. The record is from RNAcentral. Lineage: Eukaryota; Fungi.
AACGCACAUUGCGCCCUUUGGUAUUCCGAAGGGCAUGCCUGUUCGAGCGUCAUUAUCACCUCUCAAGCCUGGCUUGCUGUUGGACUUUCGGUAUUGCGUAGGCAUAACCAGUCCCAAAGAUAAUGACGGCGUCUGUGAAGACCCUAGUACACUGAGCUAUUCAUUUGGCACGUAUUAGAGGGAGUCCAGGCCCGGUCUUUACUUAUUUUUCUUAAGGUUGACCUCGGAUCAGGUAGGAAUACCCGCUGAACUUAA